CCGUACGCGAACCGUAGAGAAUGGAAACGGAGGAUCGAGUCGCUUGCUACUGCGCAGAUCGAGCUUAUUGCUAUUCUGUGUGAAGACGACGAAGAUGGAGACACACGUGGCAAAGCGCCGGUUGUUGAUAUGUGCUCAUCUAAAGGCAUUUUGGGUCGGGAUGGGAGCUGCACUGAGGUAUGGAAGGUGUCACCUGAAACCACUGUGGUCAACAAGACCAGCGAGGCCAGCCUCCUCCCUCUCCUCGCCACGUGGCAGAAAUCUGAGGACAUGGCGCAGAAAAUCUUCUAU
This 291-nucleotide unclassified non-coding RNA is filed under the name Hevea brasiliensis (rubber tree). Lineage: Eukaryota; Viridiplantae; Streptophyta; Magnoliopsida; Malpighiales; Euphorbiaceae. The record is from RNAcentral.